Molecule: transfer RNA, 69 nt
Filed under: Naria helvola
Lineage: Eukaryota; Metazoa; Mollusca; Gastropoda; Littorinimorpha; Cypraeidae
Description: tRNA-Trp
Source: RNAcentral
AAGGUUUUAAGUUAUUAUAAACUAUAAGCCUUCAAAGCUUAAAAUAAAAAAGAAUUUUUAAACCUUGCC